CAAAUUAAAGCUUAAUUAGUAAAGUAUUUUAUUUACAUUAAAAAGUUAUCGUGCAAUUCGAUUAAUUUGA
RNAcentral lists this transfer RNA (70 nucleotides) under Trechini sp. BMNH 840194. RNAcentral describes it as "tRNA-Val". It matches the Rfam family "tRNA". From Rfam's summary of the family: Transfer RNA (tRNA) molecules are approximately 80 nucleotides in length. Their secondary structure includes four short double-helical elements and three loops (D, anti-codon, and T loops). The record is from RNAcentral. Lineage: Eukaryota; Metazoa; Arthropoda; Insecta; Coleoptera; Carabidae.